Molecule: ribosomal RNA, 204 nt
Filed under: uncultured bacterium
Lineage: Bacteria
Description: partial 16S ribosomal RNA
Rfam family: Bacterial small subunit ribosomal RNA
Source: RNAcentral
UACGUAGGGCGCAAGCGUUGUCCGGAAUUAUUGGGCGUAAAGAGCUCGUAGGCGGUCUGUCGCGUCUGUUGUGAAAACUCGAGGCUCAACCUCGGGGCUUGCAGUGGAUACGGGGCAGACUAGAGUGCGGUAGGGGGAGACUGGAAUUCCUGGUGUAGCGGUGGAAUGCGCAGAUAUCGGGAGGAACACCGGUGGCGAAGGCGG